UUCCAUCUGGGAGUUUGGGUUUAAUCUACACGAGGAGUGGGAAACGUGCCCACAACCGUUCUGCAAACUGUGAAGGGGCCUCCCCUCGGGCGGCCUGCAGGAGCUCCCCUCCGUCCUCCAAGGGCAGGCUGGCUCUCGCCAGGGACGCGGCUGCGAGGCCCGGGCUGCCUGGCCCCCUUUCCUUUCCCUUCCUCUCUCCUCCCCAACUGCUGCUCCCCGCAGGCCCAGUGAUUCUGUCUUGAGACUCAGACUGACCAGACUGGGGCCCACAAAGCAUGAUUGUUGGCACAUUAUUACAAUUCCCAUGUAUGAUUCCGAUGAGAACUGGAGAGAGCCGACAAAGGAAACAGACAACUACGCUGUUUUCAUGUUCGCUUCCUUCCUGGAGAAGAGGUUUCUAGUUUCUCUGCGGAUCACCAAGAGCUGUCACGUGCCAGGCAGCCAGCUGUCCCCAGCAGGUUCCACAGCCUGACAGGUGGCCCACCACUCCAGCACACGGCAACACCUGUUCUUCACGAGACUCUUUACCCAGGCCCUCUCCCGAAACUCAAGGGAAUUUUCUUCAACUCUGUGUAGAAGUCAUUCCAUUUUCCUUCACUAUGCAAGAAGAUAGUUCAUAUUUCAGAUCUCUGUUGGGCGUUGUUCGGGAGGCAAAGAUGGACGGGAUGUUUUUGAUCCCCUAGCAGAGAGAGAGGGUGGCUGUGGCCUGUAAGCAAUGAGACCACAGGGCAGCCCCCGCAGCUGCCCUCUGCUCAUUGAGCCGCCUGCUGUGCAGCUGGACAACACCAGGGCCUGCGUUAGACAGUGAACUUACUGCUGCGGAAGGCCACCCCUAACCUAAAAACCACACCGUCUCAGAUGGCGGGUUAACGCCAUCCAUAGCCUGUCUGAGACCAUUUGGGCAGCAAAGUCAAGACGACAGUAUUUAACUGAUUCUUUUUUUUAACUUUUAAGGGACUAGGUCAUUAAAAGAAAGGUCUUAUCUCAGAAUUUCAUUAUUUUAUCUAUGAUUAUUUGAAGAUACAAGUUUACAUAUUUAGAUAAGUUAGCCCCAGUGGCAUAAAUAAAAGAGCCAGUUACAGAUCCUGAACUAUGUUGAUCAUAAAGAGCACAGGACCAGCACUGUGGACUGUGAAAAGGCCGUGCACAGAAUGCCUUGGGAAGUUUGCCCUGAAUUUGGAAUCUAUAAAUGACUCUGUUUAUUAAAAGUGUAAUUAUAGUGGCUACACCACAGCAAUUCAGUAUUUCUAUAUGCUCAAAUGCAACUCAAAAUUCAGGUGUUACUGUGAGUUUGAACUAGGGCAAAAUGGUAACCUACAAUUUAAAAUAGAACGCAGCCAAGACAUGGUGAAAUGAAUCUCGAAGUUCUUCAUUAAAAGGCACCUUAAUGAAACUGAACUAGGCCACGGGGCAGAGGGAUUUCUAACUGUAAAAUGAGCCAACGCAGGUCAUCACAUUGACAAACAG
RNAcentral lists this long non-coding RNA (1467 nucleotides) under Equus caballus (horse). RNAcentral describes it as "lncRNA (ENSECAG00000054276.1)". The record is from RNAcentral. Lineage: Eukaryota; Metazoa; Chordata; Mammalia; Perissodactyla; Equidae.